GGGGGGGGCAAGCGUUGUUCGGAAUUACUGGGCGUAAAGGGCUCGUAGGCGGCCAACUAAGUCGGACGUGAAAUCCCUCGGCUUAACCGGGGAACUGCGUCCGAUACUGGAUGGCUCGAGUGUGGGAGAGGGAUGCGGAAUUCCAGGUGUAGCGGUGAAAUGCGUAGAUAUCUGGAGGAACACCGGUGGCGAAGGCGGCAUCCUGGACCACGACUGACGCUGAGGAGCGAAAGCCAGGGGAGCAAACGGGAUUAGAUACCCCGGUAGUCCUGGCCCUAAACGAUGAAUGCUUGGUGUGGCGGGUAUCGAUCCCUGCCGUGCCGAAGCUAACGCAUUAAGCAUUCCGCCUGGGGAGUACGGUCGCAAGGCUGAA
This 373-nucleotide ribosomal RNA is filed under the name uncultured bacterium. Its description in RNAcentral is "bacterial SSU rRNA". It matches the Rfam family "Bacterial small subunit ribosomal RNA", at positions 527 to 898 of the family's 1533-position model. The record is from RNAcentral.